RNAcentral lists this ribosomal RNA (743 nucleotides) under uncultured bacterium. Its description in RNAcentral is "bacterial SSU rRNA". It matches the Rfam family "Bacterial small subunit ribosomal RNA", at positions 94 to 823 of the family's 1533-position model. The record is from RNAcentral.
AGUGGCGGACGGGUGAGUAACACGUAGGUAACCUGCCCCGGAGCGGGGGAUAACAUUUGGAAACAGAUGCUAAUACCGCAUAACAACAAAAGCCACAUGGCUUUUGUUUGAAAGAUGGCUUUGGCUAUCACUCUGGGAUGGACCUGCGGUGCAUUAGCUAGUUGGUAAGGUAACGGCUUACCAAGGCGAUGAUGCAUAGCCGAGUUGAAAGACUGAUCGGCCACAAUGGAACUGAGACACGGUCCAUACUCCUACGGGAGGCAGCAGUAGGGAAUCUUCCACAAUGGGCGCAAGCCUGAUGGAGCAACACCGCGUGAGUGAAGAAGGGUUUCGGCUCGUAAAGCUCUGUUGUUGGAGAAGAACGUGCGUGAGAGUAACUGUUCACGCAGUGACGGUAUCCAACCAGAAAGUCACGGCUAACUACGUGCCAGCAGCCGCGGUAAUACGUAGGUGGCAAGCGUUAUCCGGAUUUAUUGGGCGUAAAGCGAGCGCAGGCGGUUGCUUAGGUCUGAUGUGAAAGCCUUCGGCUUAACCGAAGAAGUGCAUCGGAAACCGGGCGACUUGAGUGCAGAAGAGGACAGUGGAACUCCAUGUGUAGCGGUGGAAUGCGUAGAUAUAUGGAAGAACACCAGUGGCGAAGGCGGCUGUCUGGUCUGCAACUGACGCUGAGGCUCGAAAGCAUGGGUAGCGAACAAGAUUAGAUACCCUGGUAGUCCAUGCCGUAAACGAUGAGUGCUAGGUGU